RNAcentral lists this ribosomal RNA (1078 nucleotides) under Aidanosagitta cf. septata YP-2014. Its description in RNAcentral is "bacterial SSU rRNA". It matches the Rfam family "Eukaryotic small subunit ribosomal RNA", at positions 631 to 1708 of the family's 1831-position model. Lineage: Eukaryota; Metazoa; Chaetognatha; Sagittoidea; Aphragmophora; Sagittidae. The record is from RNAcentral.
UCGUCGGGGUCUCAUCCGGAGGGUCUCCGGUAUCUCACCGGGGUUUCACCCGCCGCGAUGGCCCGCCGUUGCGUUUGGGCGGGUGUCCUUAGUUGGAUGCCCGCUUUCGGACGCGACCCCUUUACCUUGAACAAAUCGGAGUGCUCAAAGCAGGCUCCACCUCGCUCGAACGGUAGCGCAUGGAAUAAUGGAAGAGGACCGGCUUCCGCUUCUAUUGGUCUCACGGAGGCAGGUAAUGAUCAAGAGGAACGGACGGGGGCGGAGGUAUGGCCCGGCGAGAGGUGAAAUUCUUGGACCCCGGCCAGACCCUCGAGAGCGAAAGCAUCCGCCAAGGAUGUUUCCAUUGAUCAAGAACGAAAGUCGCGGGAUCGAACGGGAUUAGAUACCCCGGUAGUCGCGACCGUAAACGAUGCCAACCGGGAAUUCGACGGCGUUACUUCCAUGACCCGUCGAGCGCCCGACCCGGGAAACCGAGAGUCUUUGGGUUCCGGGGGGAGUAUGGUUGCAAAGCUGAAACUUAAAGGAAUUGACGGAAGGGCACCACCAGGAGUGGAGCCUGCGGCUUAAUUUGACUCAACACGGGGAACCUCACCCGGCCCGGACACCGCGAGGAUUGACAGACUGAGAGCUCUUUCUCGAUUCGGUGGGUGGUGGUGCAUGGCCGUUCUUAGUUGGUGGAGCGAUCUGUCUGGUUAAUUCCGAUAACGAACGAGACCCCAACCUACUAAAUAGCCCUUGCGUCCGGCUCCUGCCGGGCGCGACGGAACAUUCGCUUCUUAGAGGGACUCGCGGGUUCUACCCGCAUGAAGUGGGGCGAUAACAGGUCUGUGAUGCCCUUAGAUGUUCGGGGCCGCACGCGCGCUACACUGAAGGCAUCAGCGUGCGCUUUGUCCGUUCCCGGCCUGAAAAGGCUGGGUAACCCGCUGAACCGCCUUCGUGCCUGGGAUAGGGAUUUGCAAUUAUCUCCCUUGAACGAGGAAUUCCCAGUAGGCGCGAGUCAUCAGCUCGCGUCGAUUACGUCCCUGCCCUUUGUACACACCGCCCGUCGCUACUACCGAUCGAACGAUUUUGCGAGGUA